GGGGAAUAUUGGACAAUGGAGGCAACUCUGAUCCAGCAAUGCCGCGUGUGUGAUGAAGGCCCUAGGGUUGUAAAGCACUUUCAACGGUGAAGAUGAUGACGGUAGCCGUAGAAGAAGCCCCGGCUAACUUCGUGCCAGCAGCCGCGGUAAUACGAAGGGGGCGAGCGUUAUUCGGAAUUAUUGGGCGUAAAGGGCUCGCAGGCUGCUUGAACAGUUAGACGUGAAAUCCCCGGGCUCAACCUGGGAACUGCGUUUAAUACUAGCAAGCUAGAGAAAUAGAGAGGAAAGUGGAACUCCCAGUGUAGAGGUGAAAUUCGUAGAUAUUGGGAAGAACACCAGUGGCGAAAGCGACUUUCUGGCUAUUUUCUGACGCUGAGGAGCGAAAGCGUGGGGAGCAAACAGG
RNAcentral lists this ribosomal RNA (403 nucleotides) under uncultured bacterium. RNAcentral describes it as "bacterial SSU rRNA". It matches the Rfam family "Bacterial small subunit ribosomal RNA", at positions 356 to 776 of the family's 1533-position model. The record is from RNAcentral.